This 1412-nucleotide long non-coding RNA is filed under the name Marmota monax (woodchuck). The record is from RNAcentral. Lineage: Eukaryota; Metazoa; Chordata; Mammalia; Rodentia; Sciuridae.
CAAAGACACAGAAGAGGAGAGCAGUCUGCUGGAGAGGAUGCAUUCACUUAAAACGCGGUUCCGAAAGACACCGUCUCCAAGUUCAAAACCGUGUCUGCAUCCAGACAGACACUUCUGCUGUUAUACUUUCCAGGGGGAUCUCUGAGGAUUGGCUCAGGUCCUGGGGAACAGCACAAGAGUAUCUGCAUUUGUCCCAUCUGGCAAGGCUCAGAAGUGUACCGUUCCCUGACAGCUUGCUGGAAGACCACCAGCAACUCACCAGAGCUGGAUUACAGCCUGAGGUCUCUUCACAAGGCUUGGGCACCUUGAGUGACCCUGAGUACAGCUUCAACAUCUAUCAAAUGACAACGGCAACUUAUGUUCCCAAGCUGGAUGCCGAAGUGUCAUAUGGCACCAUGCUGGAGGUACUGGGGCACCGUGGAUUACAUCAUUUUUACAUUUCCAAGAGAAACACAAGAUCUACAACUUCUGUCCAAUAGCACACAAACUACUAGCUGGAGAUAGUUCAUGGUUACAAUAUUAGUGACCAUUGUCAUCUUUUGGUGGUGUCAUAUCUUACCAAAGCUGGGUUUACAGCAACUGCCAUGAUAAAAAAGCAAAUUGUCCACAACAAUCAAUGUGAAACAGGAGAAACAGUGAUCUAUCCAGAAGCUAUUCAGCAGGAAAUUGAGGCUACUAAUUGAAACAAAGGUAUCUUUUUUUCUUGCAAUUUUGCAUUUUAUUUUCAAAUAGCUACAAAGUUGUCUGGAUUUAAGUUGUUGGAUAUAACUACUUAAUAGAUAAAAUCAUUGGUAACACCUUCCCGCCUUAAACACAUUAAAAUCACUGUGAACCAAGAAAGUUAGGGAACCUCUGGCUUGGAACACAUUGGUUCUUGUGAGGCAAUACAUCUAACAUUUCUCAUUGGGCCCAGACUGUAGCUCAGUGGUACACCUCUUGCCUAGCAUGGCAAGCCCUGGGUUCUAUCCCAAGUACGGCACCAAUUUUUUUUUCUUUUUCUUCAUAAAGUGUCUGAUUUUCUAAAUAACUUCCAUAAAAAUAUAAAUUUCCAAAGUUCUGAAAUUUUAGAAAUCUCAACAAUCUGGAACCUCAGCUGUCCAUCAGUCUUCAUCUUUUGAGAGAAAGAGCUGAAAUUUCAGAAGACCCCUAGGCGACCCACAGAGGAAGUGACAGAAAUCAAGUGAGUUGGCAACACCCGCCAUUGGUACAGCCCAUGAACGUCCUCACCACCUCUCUCUGAAGCUUCACCCCACUUUAUGGAGAAGGAAACCAAGGUCCUAAGAGGGUACAUGAGUGUUUGGGCUCAGCUCAUGACAGAGCAGAAGUCAAACCAGUCUCCUGAGCCCUUUUCUACCAACUCUUUCCCAAGACGUUCUCACAGGAAACCAUCAAUAACACAGCGGAAGUUACUC